Molecule: long non-coding RNA, 1614 nt
Organism: Magnolia sinica
Lineage: Eukaryota; Viridiplantae; Streptophyta; Magnoliopsida; Magnoliales; Magnoliaceae
Exons: 7
Source: RefSeq, a predicted model, not a curated record
UCGAAGCAGAGCUCUCUCUCAAAAUCCCUAAGCUCCGAACAGAAAACAAAGCGAAAUCGCGUUUUACUUCUACAAUUCUAUCUGUCAAAAUCCCCAAGCUUUGAAAGGAAAACAGAUCGAAAUCGCAUUUAACUUCUGCAAUUCGAUCCUUUACAAUGCCUAGAAACGUCAAUUCUGUCCUCCACACCAGCAAUCUCUUCGCAGAUUUCAGCUAGAUAAACAAGGGGCAUAUACACCGAUUGCAGCUCCUAACCGAACCGAACCCUAGCUCUUCUCUCUGUCUUCUCCAAUAUUUCUCUCGUCUUCGUCAGAUCUACCGUCUCUCUCUCUCUCUCUCUCUCUCUGUCUCCAAUCAUCAGAUCCUCAAAAGACAGUAAUAUUGGAAAGGGUAGAGCAUUUUGCUCAGUCCGUUUCUGUAUACGAAGAUCAAAUAUUUCAAAAAAGAGCUCGUAUUCAGCAGUUGGUGCUAGGUAUCACAGAGUUCAUGAUAGCAGAACUGAUUUACUUGCAAUGGAUGGAUCCAAACUAGCCAAUUUAUCUUUACAUCAAUUCAACUGGAACGACUCGUGAUGAUGGUGAAACACUUUUCACAAGCAGCAGUUGCAGCUCAAGCUGGUGCUUCAGUUAUCUAGAUUUUUGUUGGUUAUUCUAGUGGAAUUAUAUCCUAGAGCAAUUGAUAAGGAAAAGGCAAGAGAACUAAAAGAUACAGAGGUAGAAUUGCAGCUCAAUAUCAAAGACAAAUCAGAUGAGUUUAGAUUGCCUACAGAAGAGGCACUUCUUCAUUAAUUCUACUUCAAAGUUCUCCUGGUUCAUUUUGAAUUUGGAAACUUAAGGCUCUUAUGAUUUUCCUUUAGGAGCUUCAAGAAGAGGCACAGUGACCACCAGAUCUUCCAAAAUCUUCAGCACAGAAUAAAAGGAUGUUUCCAGUUGCAGAGCUUGCAGAACUUAUUAAAAUGUUCGAAAAUCCAUGACCCACUUGCUUGGACAAACACUCUAAAGGUGAAAAAAGACUGGCUUUAUUCUAAUCAUACUAUUAUUCUUUAAUUUGUAAUAGCUUGGGUUGGGUCAAAAUGCUGCUUUGUUGAUCAUAAUAAUUUUUACAAUCUAUCACAUAGACCAUUUAUGCUUUUGAUAGUAAGCAUUUAUUUUAUGGUCUGCCACCGUUUAGAUUUCCAAAAGGCAUUGUUCUGGUAAUUGUGUAAAUACAUUCUAAGAUUAGUUAAUCAAAUGUCGGGAUUGAAGUACAGCCAUAGUUGUAUUGUCAUCUAGCAACAAAACAAGUCAGUAGACCAAAAUGAAAUAGAAAUAAAAUGAGUUGGGACAAAUAACUAAAUUGGAGUAGAACUACCUCAGAUUGAAUCUUGCUUAUGAAAUGCAUGUUAGCUAAAUUAGCAUAUUUUCUCAAUGCAUAUUAGCUUUUGCAGUGGAAUGGCUUAUAGUUCCUUUUGAAGGUAUUAAAAAUUACUCCUAGUGCUCAUUAAAAAUGAUAAAUCUGAGUUAGUGAGAGUGAUGGAAAAAGCUAAAGGGAGAGUUCUUUCAUAGGCUUUAGUGUGCAAAGAUUUUACAAGAGUUAAUUAGGAGGAUCUUUGUAGAGAUUGGCUUUGAAAGUUCUAC